RNAcentral lists this ribosomal RNA (256 nucleotides) under uncultured bacterium. RNAcentral describes it as "partial 16S ribosomal RNA". It matches the Rfam family "Bacterial small subunit ribosomal RNA", at positions 524 to 777 of the family's 1533-position model. The record is from RNAcentral.
UACGGGGGGGGGCAAGCGUUGUUCGGAAUUACUGGGCGUAAAGGGCUCGUAGGCGGCCAACUAAGUCAGACGUGAAAUCCCUCGGCUUAACCGGGGAACUGCGUCUGAUACUGGAUGGCUUGAGGUUGGGAGAGGGAUGCGGAAUUCCAGGUGUAGCGGUGAAAUGCGUAGAUAUCUGGAGGAACACCGGUGGCGAAGGCGGCAUCCUGGACCAAUUCUGACGCUGAGGAGCGAAAGCCAGGGGGAGCAAAACGGG